Brassica napus (rape) is the source of this 72-nucleotide non-coding RNA. NCBI's taxonomy places the organism in Eukaryota, Viridiplantae, Streptophyta, Magnoliopsida, Brassicales, Brassicaceae. The record is from Rfam.
UCCGUUGUCGUCCAGCGGUUAGGAUACCUGGCUUUCACCCAGGCGACCCGGGUUCGAUUACCGGCAACGGAG